This 786-nucleotide ribosomal RNA is filed under the name Triticum aestivum (bread wheat). RNAcentral describes it as "partial small subunit ribosomal RNA". The record is from RNAcentral. Lineage: Eukaryota; Viridiplantae; Streptophyta; Magnoliopsida; Poales; Poaceae.
AUGAGACCAGCGGGGAAGACCACGGCUGCCACGGCGCACGCCCGAUCGGCCAGCCUGCCACACGAACACCCGCACCCCAUCAUGGCGCACCUGGACGACAGCAUCCGCACGCUCAGGUCAUGGUCGGCCAGAGCAACCGGCGGUCAGUCCUCCGGCAUUGCCCUCGUCGAUGCCGUCCUGGCAGCGCUCGGUGAGCUCCUGGCGCUGCCGCAGGCUGUGGCAGCACUCCACACAGCCACCGCCGCCUGCGACCAAAUCCUCGAAAGGAUCCUUGUGCUCGCUGACGCCUACGGCACAUUCCUGUCGGCGCUCGUCACGCUCAAGCAGAGCGUGGCGGAGCAGCAGGUCGGCACUAGGCGCGGGGACGGCAUGAUGGUCGCUGCAUCGCUCCGUGUACACAGGCGGACAGAGAAGGAGCUGUGCCGCCUCGUCACCAUGAUGCGACAUGCCGCCAGAGGCACGUUGAGGCCAUUGGAUACCACGAACAAUGAGGUGAUCGGCAUUGUGGCAGAUGUAGCCGUGGCCACUGUGGAAGCAUCGGAGACCAUCUUCAUGGAGUGUGCAGCAAUGUCACCGGACAUGCAAGUGCCUUCAAACAAGUGGCUGGCCAGGCUGAGUGUCAGGCCGUCCGCCAAGAAGGCAGCACCAGAGACAGCGAUGGUGGCGUUGGAGAGGCUAGAGAAGCUAGAGGAAUCCAUUGGUGGGCUGGAGACCGGAAGUGAGAAGGUUUUCAGAAGACUGCUGCAGUCUAGAGUUUCACUUCUGAACAUCCUUACUCCCUUCUAA